Molecule: long non-coding RNA, 297 nt
Filed under: Elaeis guineensis (African oil palm)
Lineage: Eukaryota; Viridiplantae; Streptophyta; Magnoliopsida; Arecales; Arecaceae
Description: long non-coding RNA (EGUI_LNC073697)
Source: RNAcentral
GAGUUCCGAAAUCGAGUAUUGAAGUUACUCGCUAUGUGACACAAGCAAUACACAUGAUGUGCAUCUGAUGAUUGCCAGCCAAGAUAUCCAUUCUGCAAAGCUGACAAUAUAUCUGAAUGUCGAUCUGAAAAAGACAUAUACCACGACAUGAUGUAAUACAAUAUCUAAGACAAGCCAAGAACCAGCCCUAUAUAUCAGUAGACUCCUCAUCUACUAUAGCAAAGGUAAGUGAAAAUAUUUGAUUGUUUUCAUCAAUAGCUAUUGCAAUCAUCAGCUUCUUUCGAUAUUUUUUGUACA